GAUGAACGCUAGCGGCGGGCUUAAUACAUGCAAGUUGAGGGGCAGCAUGAUAUACGCGAGUAUAUUGAUGGCGACCGGCGGACGGGUGAGUAAUAGGUAGGAGACCUACCUCAUACAGGGGGAUAGCAUAGAGAAAUCUGUGGUAAUACCCCAUGAGGUUAUAUGAAUAGAGGCAUAUAAUCAAAGCAUAAGCGAUUAUGCGGUAUGAGAGGGGCCUACUGACCAUUAGCUAGUUGGUGAGGUAAGGGCUCACCAAGGCGAAGAUGGUUAGGGGUUUUGAGAGAGAGACCCCCCACAUUGGAACUGAGAGACGGUCCAGACUCCUACGGGAGGCAGCAGUAGGGAAUAUUGGGCAAUGGGCGAAAGCCUGACCCAGCCAUGCCGCGUGAAGGAAGACGGCCUUAUGGGUUGUAAACUUCUUUACUACGCGAAUAGAGGUUAGUACGAGAUACUAAUAGGAAGGUAGUGUAGUAAAAGCACCGGCUAACUCCGUGCC
RNAcentral lists this ribosomal RNA (496 nucleotides) under uncultured bacterium. Its description in RNAcentral is "bacterial SSU rRNA". It matches the Rfam family "Bacterial small subunit ribosomal RNA", at positions 28 to 509 of the family's 1533-position model. The record is from RNAcentral.